AGUGAACGCUGGCGGUAGGCCUAACACAUGCAAGUCGAACGGCAGCACAGGAGAGCUUGCUCUCUGGGUGGCGAGUGGCGGACGGGUGAGGAAUACAUCGGAAUCUACUCUGUCGUGGGGGAUAACGUAGGGAAACUUACGCUAAUACCGCAUACGACCUACGGAUGAAAGCAGGGGAUCUUCGGACCUUGCGCGAUUGAAUGAGCCGAUGUCGGAUUAGCUAGUUGGCGGGGUAAAGGCCCACCAAGGCGACGAUCCGUAGCUGGUCUGAGAGGAUGAUCAGCCACACUGGAACUGAGACACGGUCCAGACUCCUACGGGAGGCAGCAGUGGGGAAUAGUGGACAAUGGGCGCAAGCCUGAUCCAGCCAUACCGCGUGGGUGAAGAAGGCCUUCGGGUUGUAAAGCCCUUUUGUUGGGAAAGAAAUCCAGCUGGCUAAUACCCGGUUGGGAUGACGGUACCCAAAGAAUAAGCACCGGCUAACUUCGUGCCAGCCGCCGCCGUAA
RNAcentral lists this ribosomal RNA (506 nucleotides) under uncultured bacterium. Its description in RNAcentral is "partial 16S ribosomal RNA". It matches the Rfam family "Bacterial small subunit ribosomal RNA", at positions 29 to 523 of the family's 1533-position model. The record is from RNAcentral.